AUUGAACGCUGGCGGCUUGCCUUACACAUGCAAAUCGAACGGUAACGGGCCUUCGGGUGCCGACGAGUGGCGAACGGGUGAGUAAUACAUCGGAACGUGCCCGAUCGUGGGGGAUAACGAGGCGAAAGCUUUGCUAAUACCGCAUACGAUCUACGGAUGAAAGCAGGGGACCGCAAGGCCUUGCGCGGACGGGGCGGCCGAUGGCAGAUUAGGUAGUUGGUGGGAUAAAAGCUUACCAAGCCGACGAUCUGUAGCUGGUCUGAGAGGAUGAUCAGCCACACUGGGACUGAGACACGGCCCAGACUCCUACGGGAGGCAGCAGUGGGGAAUUUUGGACAAUGAGCGCAAGCCUGAUCCAGCCAUGCCGCGUGCAGGAUGAAGGCCUUCGGGUUGUAAACUGAUUUUGUACGGAACGAAAAGCCUUCUUUUAAUACAGGAGGGUCAUGACGGUACCGUAAGAAUAAGCACCGGCUAACUACGUG
RNAcentral lists this ribosomal RNA (482 nucleotides) under uncultured bacterium. RNAcentral's name for it is "partial 16S ribosomal RNA". It matches the Rfam family "Bacterial small subunit ribosomal RNA", at positions 30 to 507 of the family's 1533-position model. The record is from RNAcentral.